Molecule: non-coding RNA, 5696 nt
Organism: Nerophis lumbriciformis (worm pipefish)
Lineage: Eukaryota; Metazoa; Chordata; Actinopteri; Syngnathiformes; Syngnathidae
Source: RefSeq, a predicted model, not a curated record
UCAAUAAACUUCUCAAUCAAUAAAAAAAACAAGGAACACAUAGUUUUGUGUGUCACUAGCUGUAAUGCUAAUGAUGUGUUUGUCUACAACAGUGUGUGUCUCCAGUAAGUGCUAUUGUGUACUUACUUUAUCCACUUUUUAUAUACCGUAUACACUAACUUUUGCACGCAUACUGUAUCACAUCAAACUUGUCUGCCUCACAUAUUUUUCCCAAAUGUUUAAUGAAGAAAAAAUGAUCCGCUUCGGUACUGCCGGAGCUGCAACACAUCGGCGUAACACAUCCUGUAGCCCAGAGCUAUUCAAAUGCCAGCCGGGGGCCAAAUUCGGAGUUCAGUUCAAAACUUUUGCAGGAAAAAAUUAGCACUAGAGUGCUUCUGUUGUAUGGAGGAACUUUGACCAGUGUAAAUGCAUUGGAAGAUCCUUGCAUUUAAAUGUUAUCCUCCUAAAGGCCAGCAUCCGCUGUAGCGGACCUUUGUAUUUUGCAUUACAGUACUAUUUUCUUGGGAAAUGUGUAAUUUAUAGACAGACUAAAAACAAAUGUCCACUACAGAGGAUACUGGUUCUCAAAAUAAUAAUAAUAAUGAAGUGAGAAGUCCAACCCUUUCUGGAAAUGUGGCCCUAGAACAAUUUAGUCAAAUAACCGUGCUGUAGCUCAUCAGCUUUAUUUGAGGAUGUGGAGCGAAGCCUGUUCUUUUUAUUUUAUUUUAUUUUUUACAAAUGUUUGGGUGUACACACUUAUCAAGCUAGGAGCUGGUCAAAGGCAAUAUCACGUCCAUGAUGAGGAUUGCGUUAUUCCUUCAUGACUUCAUUAAAAACUUACAAAGCUAGUGUUUGAGCAUCUCUUCUCUUGAAAGCAAGAACAUUUUUUCUCAUUUGAUUCUCAUUGACAGGCCCUAGGGACACAUUUUACUUAGAACAUCAUCGGUCAUCUUGAAGUUGCUAAUAGGUUGAUUUUGUUCUUCCUCCACAGCUGACAUCAACAAACUCAGCCAACAGCGGUCAGACGACUGCAGACGACAACAAAGAAAAAGCCUCAGCGGCGAAGGCUCAGGAGCAGGAGGAGGAGAUCGACAUUGACCUGGAGGCGCCUGAGACGGAGAAGGCGGCGCUCGCCAUCCAGAACCAGUUCAGGCGUUUCCAGAAGAAAAAGAAGUAGAGUGACUGUUCCUUUUAAGUGAGAGUGAAAUGAGACAACGGAAAAAAUUUAUAUAAAAAAGAAAAAAAAACAAUAAUGAUGUACAGAAAUGUGGGGGUUUGGGGGAGGGUGGGCGGGGAUGGGAGGGGCAAACUGUUCAGGAGUUAUUGCUCUAAUAUGCAAAAUAUCAUACAGGGACUUUUCGCAUGAGAUUGACUGGAGGAGGUGGGAAGAAAAUUUAGAAUCUAAAGCAUGAUGUCAGCUCACAACCCAUUCCCCCCCACUUUGACCUCCCCCCUCCCCCGCCUCCGUGCACACCAGCUGACAAGUAAACGCACAAUAACAAAAUACAAGCACACUCUUGUCUGCCGGCCUCCCGAACGAAAGCAAAGUCUAGCUGGUGGAGCCUUGUUAUAUUAUUAUCAUAAUGAUUAUUAUUAUUGGAUGUGGUCUAUUGGUGACAAGGUGGUGGUCAUGGAAACUGGCCAGUAGCCACAAGCAGAGGGGAGAGAUCAAUGUGGACAGCGGGCGCUGAUUGGCGUGGAAUGGCGACGGCCGCUCAGUGGUGCCGGCGGAAAGUCAUUCAAAUAUUUAUGCCACUUUAAUGAGUCAUUAGAGCUGCGGUGUCACUUCUAUCGCUCUCAAUGACAAGCAGAAAUGAAUUAUUCUUGCGGUUGGAUUGGAGUCCACAACUUACUUCUUGUCCUCGUCGUUUUUAAUGUACCCCGAGCGGCUAAGAUUCCACCUUCCAUAAGCGAGACACCUUGCGGGUCCAACGCCUGCAACCUCCAGCCGGUGUCCUCUUGCCGUCCUGCAACAUUUAGGCGUUUCUGUCUGAGUCGCCGGGUGUCGCGUUGCUCCUCAAAAUACACGCUUGAUAACGAGGGCCAGCCCUAAACCCUGACCUUGUCGCCUUCAGACGCCCAGAAAUCAGGACAAAAAACAGCGGGACUCCAAUGUGAAGCACACUUCACCACCUUGCCCCCACCCCGCCGACCCCAGCCCUCCUCUGCGACGCAUGUAGCCCACUGAACUGCUUCAUUAACAGCCACAUUUGCUGUAAUAUUAAUCCUGCUAAUUACUAGAAUUAUUAUAGGAAUGUAACCUCUUUUCUAUUUCGAGUGCAGUACACGCCCACCACCCGCUCACACUCCUUCCCGCCACAAUGUAGAGGACAUUUAAUUGGUCCUUUUUAGCAUCUAGCUUUAUUACAGAGCCUGUUUUUCUAUUAGUCAUUUACAGUUUGUUCUUAGUUGUAAUAACAUUUAGUUGAUCUUCGUAUAUGCUUCUUGCUAUGCCAUGUUUUUUGUGUGUGUUGUUUGCCGUUGUUGGAAGUGGGCGGGGCUUAUUUGUCCAGGAGGUGAUGUCACAUGUUGUGUGUGCGCCAAUCAGAUCAUGAGCAAGUGUUGAUGUGCACAAAAACACCACACCAGGUGUACAUUUAAGAACCAAACCUGAGUCUCAUGUUCGCACGUGAUUCCAAACGAUGUAGCAUAUCUCCUGUCUUGUCUCCUCUAUGUCGUCACGGCGAGACGGACUAGAGAUCGUAAUCCCGUGUGGCUUCUGCAAAUAUCAAACCUGCCCAGUUUGAGGGCACCUCACGUUGCCUGGCAACAUGCACCGCCCUUAGGAAGUAUUGUCAAACUUCCAUGUGACGGAGCAGGGUGACCUUCUGCUUAAAGGUCGCAGGUUUGAUCCCCGCAGUCGUGUCGCUUUGGCUCGUCCACGAAAUGCCACUUCGGUGUUUUGAACCAAAUUCUGAAUGAAGCGAGAAUGUUGCAGAGAUGAAAGCUACAUUCUCACGACCAUCUUUGACCUCACAUGUGCUAGCGUUGUGGAGCCAUUUGUUCUGCGGCAGCUCAGUGAAGACCUCUUUUGAAAGGUUUGUCAGCACAAAACAUGAUAAAACUACUGUUAAUGCUCAAAUUGUAACUGGGGUGUGUAUUAACGUAAACCUCAUAAAAGAGGACAGGGCGUUUAUUAACAGACGAUAAUUGUGAAGAGGCUUUAAAGGGGAAGUGCACUUUUGGGGAUUUUUGCACAUCAUUCCCAAUCCUUAUGUAAAACAAAAACAUAAUAUAUGUUUUUAUUUUUUAAUGCAUUCUAAAUUGUAGCUACCAUAUUUUUCGGAGUAUAAGUCGCACCGGAGUAUAAGGCGCACCUGCCAAAAAUGCAUAAUAAAGAAGGAAAAAAACAUAUAUAAGUCGCAUUUUUUGGGGACAUUUAUUCGAUAAAACCCAACACCUUGAAUAGACAUUUGAAAGGCAAUUUAAAAUAAAUAAAGAAUAGUGAACAACAGGCUGAAUAAGUGUACGUUAUAUGACACAUAAAUAACCAACUGAGAACGUGCCUGGUAUGUUAACGUAACAUAUUAUGGUAAGAGUCAUUCAAAUAACUAUAACACAUAGAACAUGCUAUACGUUUACCAAACAAUCUGUCACUCCUAAUCGCUAAAUCCCAUGAAAUCUUAUACGUCUAGUCUCUUACGUGAAUGAGCUAAAUAAUAUUAUUUGAUAUUUUACGGUAAUGUGUUAAUAAUUUCACACAUAAGUCGCUCCUGAGUAUAAGUCGCACCCCCGGCCAAACUAUGAAAAAAACUGUCACUUAUAGUCCGAAUAAUACGAUAAAUGCUUUGAACGUUCACUUAAAACAGAGCCUAUUGGAGUCGCUCCAUUCUGCCUAUAAAAGCCCUUAAAAACAUACAAACACCUUCAUUAAGGUUUUAUAUACACACUGUAAGUAUAUAUUAAAUGUAGUAAAAGGGACGGCGUGGCGCAUUGGAAGAAUGGCCGUGCGCGACCCGAGGGUCCCUGGUUCAAUCCCCACCUAGUACCAACCUCGUCAUGUCCGUUGUGUCCUGAGCAAGACACUUCACCCUUGCUCCUGAUGGGUGCUGGUUAGCGCCUUGCAUGGCAGCUCCCUCCAUCAGUGUGUGAAUGUGUGUGUGAAUGGGUAAAUGUGGAAGUAGUGUCAAAGCGCUUUGAGUACCUUGAAGGUAGAAAAGCGCUAUACAAGUACAACCCAUUUAUUUAAAAGGCACAUUUAUAGAUGUGAUAUUUACGUAUGUUGCUCAUUUUAAGCAUAAGCGGUGCAUUCAUUUCACAAAUGUUGCUUUUUUUCCCCAACACUGAUUUCUACUCACUACAGACUUCAUGAGCGCCAACAUACAUAAUAAAACAUCACUUACUGUGCAAGGUCUGCUGUCAUCAUGAUGCCGACUGAUAGAAUCUUGUUGUAGUAGAUCAGAUGAAAAAUGACUCAUAAUCCUAGCGAAGAAAAAGGGGGAGAAACAAAGCGUCUUUCUGUGUCGUUCGCACCAUUUCCAGGUUUAAAUUGGCGGUCAAAUUGUACCAACUUGUCGGAAUACGUCCUCAUCCUUCUACUAUCCAGGUGAGAGGCAUUAUUUAUGAUGUACAAUAAACUUCCACAAGCAAGGAAGCAAGGUAGCAGCUUAUUACUCGAUGUCUGUAAAGGGCACACAACCUAGUGAUCACGGCGCCGCUAUAAAUAGUGAGUCUGCGUUAGCGCUUAUAAUAACAAUAUCACUAAUACUUAAUAUUUAAGUCACGAAAUGUAAAUAGAGUAUUGUUGGCGCUUUUUAAAUGUUUUUUUAUUGGGUUUUAUGGGCGGAAUAGUGGACCUCCCAUUUGCUCCUUUGUAAGCAGACCUUUAUUUACGAGAUAGAAUGUAUUAAAAAAAAAAAUACAGCCGUCAUGUCUUUCAUAAUGAUUGUGAACGAUAGGCAAUGUUUAAAAAAAAAAAGUGCAUUUCCCCUUUAACUGACUCUUCCUUUCAUUUUUUUCCUUUAUUAAUAGUUUGAAGAGCAUGAGAAAGUGGAAAGGUAAACAAAGUUCAAUUUACUUACAGCCGCAGCUGUUGAUGCCAAUGUUUUUUGACAUACUUCACCUCGUGGAUCCUGGUGUUUAAAAAUAAUCAUUUCAAAACCAGUAAUUGAAUAUAGGCGUUAAUUAGAGCAUUUACAGUAUAUUAAAAAUCAUAACCAGAAAGUGUGUGUGUAUAGAUGUGCUUGCUCACGCUUGUUAAGUGUAUUUCCAAACGACAGCAAAGCCAUAUUUCACACAACCAAAACCUGCUGAUUUUCAUCACCUGUGAAGCUACAACAUACUUUGCAAAGGCAACCUGUGUGUGUGUGUGUGUGUGUGUGUGUGUGUGUGUGUGUGUGUGUGUGUGUGUGUGUGUGUGUGUGUGUGUGUGUGUGUGUGUGUGUGUGCGCCGUCGAGGCACCCUUUGCCUUGUGGCCACUGUUCUUUCAGGGAAGUCUCGGCCAAUCAGGAAGCUCCACCGGGCCCCGUCCCGCCCUGUUAUUUCCUCACAUGUUUUAUUUAUCGCCGGCCUAUGAAAUGCUGUUUCUAUUAUUAAUGUGUGUACACCUGCAUUGUUGUGAAGGCAUGUGACAUUGAUGUGUUUUUAGGCAGCCCUCUCCCCUCACGUGUUAGCAUGUCAAGCUACAACGUGUAGCAGGACACAACGCACAAGAAAUCCCUGUAAUGUAUUUUUUUCUGCACUAAAUAAAAUUUGCUGCAUUUAGCUUUGAACUUUA